Molecule: ribosomal RNA, 377 nt
Filed under: uncultured bacterium
Lineage: Bacteria
Description: bacterial SSU rRNA
Rfam family: Bacterial small subunit ribosomal RNA
Source: RNAcentral
AUACGUAGGUGGCAAGCGUUGUCCGGAAUUACUGGGCGUAAAGGGCGAGUAGGCGGUCAUGCAAGUCAGAUGUGAAAGGCGCGGGCUCAACUUGCGCAUUGCAUUUGAAACUGUGUGACUUGAGUGCAGGAGAGGAAAGCGGAAUUCCCAGUGUAGCGGUGAAAUGCGUAGAUAUUGGGAGGAACACCAGUGGCGAAGGCGGCUUUCUGGCCUGUAACUGACGCUGAUGCGCGAAAGCGUGGGGAGCAAAAAGGAGUAGAUACCCUGGUAGUCCAAGCCGUAAACGAUGGAUGCUAGGUGUGGGAGGUAUCGACCCCUUCCGUGCCGUAGUUAACGCAAUAAGCAUCCCGCCUGGGGAGUACGGUCGCAAGACUGAA